This is a long non-coding RNA of Brassica napus (rape), 2263 nucleotides long. RefSeq lists it as uncharacterized. Lineage: Eukaryota; Viridiplantae; Streptophyta; Magnoliopsida; Brassicales; Brassicaceae. The record is from RefSeq and is a predicted model, not a curated record. The transcript is spliced from 2 exons.
AUUCACCUAAAUCCCACCAAAAUUAAAACACUCUACAACUCCUUAAAUAUAGUUUUUGGGUUUGUAAAGAGUAAAAUUUCAACAGAAACUGUAAGAUAUUUUAUUUAUUGUUUUCUUAGGUUCUAAUCCGUGCCAAAAUACAAAAUCGUAAUUUAAAACUAAAAUUUGGGCCAAAAUAUGAAAUUUUAUUUCAUGAAAAUUCAAUAUUGAAAAAGAUAAACUACACCUGAUUUUAUAUAUUUAAUAUAUUUUAUUAGAUAAACUUUUAACCUGUGCCAAAAUGCAAGAUCAUAAUAUUUUAAAACGUCAUUUUAAUCUGUACCAAAACGCAAUAUCAUAAUGUUUUUAUUGAACGAAAUAUUGUUAUUGAUUUAUUAAGUUAUAUGAUUUUAAUGAAAUGAAAUUCAUUCUGUUUAAGUAAGAUUUAAGCGUUUGAUAAAAUGAUAACUAUUUUUAUUUCAUCAAAUCUAUUAUAAUAAAGUUGAAGAGAAACUCUUCACAAUGCGCCACAUCAUCCCUCAUAUCUCUAUUUUGUGUCACGUGUCGAGAAAAGAGAGGGUUUUUUUUCUUUUAUUCUUCCAAUUCGUGGAUUUUCUUCUUCUUUUUUCUUUGGUGUUUCUGGCUCGUUCAUUAGCUGGAUUUUCUGAUUAUUUAUUGGGCCUUUCUAUUUAUUUAUUGGCCUAUACUUUGAUAUAUGCAACCCGUUUGUGUUUAGAAUUAGGUGUGCCAUCUUCAGCUGAUCGACGCCGUCACCUUCCAUCGUCCCCGACUGCGUUUUCGUGUAACGUCUUCGUUUUCACUUAAUAUCAAGCUUUAAAUCAAUCAUUAAGCUUCACCCCACCUUUCUUCCCACUCUGUCUCAUUUAUUCUCAUUAACAAGCGGUGUUUGUAACAGAUCCAAGGUCGAGCUAUAAAUAAGUGUUUUGGAGCGACGAAGAUAUGCAGCAUUGAGAUAUCUUAUAGCUUAAGAAAUCCGACGGAUGCCUUCAGUUAUGUCGUUUUCCUAUGUUCUUCUCGCCAACUUGAGAGCAGACCAUUGCUCAAACACGGCGGAGGUGCGUCUUCUGAGGUUCUGGGAACAUAAUUUCCAUUUUUCUUACAUUAAUUAAUGGCUUCGUACAAACAUAAGUUGACUGGUAUAUAGGGAAAGUAAUCUUUGAUUCUUGAUCACACAAAAUUAAUAUGGAUUUAUUAUGUUUAAAUUUCAGUUUAAUUUCUGUAUUGCUUUCUACAAUUGUUUAAAUUUUAAUACAAAAUAUUUUUUUUUAAUAAUUUAUCCCCAAAAAUAUAUAUAUUUCAUUCCCACAUUACUUUUUUAUAACAAUAACAAAAAAAAUACAUUUCAAACUAAAACAAAGCUAAAUGUCUAAACUUAAACUUCAAAUGCCGAGGCUAUAACAUACAAUUCACCAUUUCCUUCCAAUAUAUCUUCAUUACUAAACCUAAUAGACAUUAUCUUCACUACUAAACCUAAUACACAUUAUUCACCAUUCCGAUCAUGAAUCUCAUAUUCGUUACAAAAAAACAAUCUAUAUAUAAUAGCAAACCCAAUUUUGAUGCUAGAUGACCUAAUCAUUUUUUUAUAGGAAAAUAAAAUUUAAAUCUAACGGUUUAGUUUAACAAUAUUUUGUAAUCUAACGGACAUGAACAUCUCUUAUUUAUAAGAUCCGACGUCAUCAAUCUCUUUCACCAAAAGUAAAUAAGAUCCGACGUCAUCAAUCUCUUUCACCAAAAGGCGUCUCAAUCAACUGCUCUCUGAACGAGCACCCCUUAUCUUUGCAAAGGACACCUCAUUUGCCUCCUUUCGGAUUCAACCCGUCUCUAAAAUCCAUCUAUAUAUUGAAGUUUCAGAUUUCUUAUCCCUUUGCAUAUUCCAUCAUCAUUCUGUCCAUUUACAUUGUCCAUCAUCCUCAUCCAGUUUUAGAUCACAGCCUUAAUAACAUCCAUAAGUGCAUCACUCACGCGUGUGCCUUGAAGUGGAGAAGUUUGGAGUUGGAAAAGAAGUAGAGAGACUCCAACCGUGCGUUUCUAUGGGAACCUGAUCUUUAUGAUGUCACAAAUCAUUAAUUUAUAAAUACAAGCAUAAUCUAUUCAUAAUAGAAGGUACGUAUUAAUGUAAAUUUUAUGCUUUUGAGUUUUGAGUGAUUAAAAGAUUUCAUAUAGUUGUGUUGUUCUGUUCCUCAGAAAGAAACACUGUAAAAACAGAUGAAGAAAGAAACCAACGAUGAGUUCAUAAAAAGUUGUGAUUAUAUUUUUUAGUUUC